UGUUGGUGGGGUAACGGCUCACCAAGGCGACGAUCCCUAGCUGGUCUGAGAGGAUGACCAGCCACACUGGAACUGAGACACGGUCCAGACUCCUACGGGAGGCAGCAGUGGGGAAUAUUGCACAAUGGGCGCAAGCCUGAUGCAGCCAUGCCGCGUGUAUGAAGAAGGCCUUCGGGUUGUAAAGUACUUUCAGCGGGGAGGAAGGGAGUAAAGUUAAUACCUUUGCUCAUUGACGUUACCCGCAGAAGAAGCACCGGCUAACUCCGUGCCAGCAGCCGCGGUAAUACGGAGGGUGCAAGCGUUAAUCGGAAUUACUGGGCGUAAAGCGCACGCAGGCGGUUUGUUAAGUCAGAUGUGAAAUCCCCGGGCUCAACCUGGGAACUGCAUCUGAUACUGGCAAGCUUGAGUCUCGUAGAGGGGGGCAGAAUUCCAGGUGUAGCGGUGAAAUGCGUAGAGAUCUGGAGGAAUACCGGUGGCGAAGGCGGCCCCCUGGACGAAGACUGACGCUCAGGUGCGAAAGCGUGGGGAGCAAACAGGAUUAGAUACCCUGGUAGUCCACGCCGUAAACGAUGUCGACUUGGAGGUUGUGCCCUUGAGGCGUGGCUUCCGGAGCUAACGCGUUAAGUCGACCGCCUGGGGAGUACGGCCGCAAGGUUAAAACUCAAAUGAAUUGACGGGGGCCCGCACAAGCGGUGGAGCAUGUGGUUUAAUUCGAUGCAACGCGAAGAACCUUACCUGGUCUUGACAUCCACGGAAGUUUUCAGAGAUGAGAAUGUGCCUUCGGGAACCGUGAGACAGGUGCUGCAUGGCUGUCGUCAGCUCGUGUUGUGAAAUGUUGGGUUAAGUCCCGCAACGAGCGCAACCCUUAUCCUUUGUUGCCAGCGGUCCGGCCGGGAACUCAAAGGAGACUGCCAGUGAUAAACUGGAGGAAGGUGGGGAUGACGUCAA
This 948-nucleotide ribosomal RNA is filed under the name uncultured Gammaproteobacteria bacterium. RNAcentral describes it as "bacterial SSU rRNA". It matches the Rfam family "Bacterial small subunit ribosomal RNA", at positions 247 to 1188 of the family's 1533-position model. The record is from RNAcentral. Lineage: Bacteria; Pseudomonadati; Pseudomonadota; Gammaproteobacteria.